GAUGAACGCUGGCGGCGUGCCUAAUACAUGCAAGUAGAACGCUGAAGGAGGAGCUUGCUCUUCUGGAUGAGUUGCGAACGGGUGAGUAACGCGUAGGUAACCUGCCUGGUAGCGGGGGAUAACUAUUGGAAACGAUAGCUAAUACCGCAUGACAACAGUUAUUGCAUGAUAACUGUUUAAAAGGGGCAACUGCUCCACUACCAGAUGGACCUGCGUUGUAUUAGCUAGUUGGUGAGGUAACGGCUCACCAAGGCGACGAUACAUAGCCGACCUGAGAGGGUGAUCGGCCACACUGGGACUGAGACACGGCCCAGACUCCUACGGGAGGCAGCAGUAGGGAAUCUUCGGCAAUGGACGGAAGUCUGACCGAGCAACGCCGCGGGAGUGAAGAAGGGUUUCGGAUCGUAAAGCUCGGUUGUAAGAGAAGAACGAGUGUGAGAGUGGAAAGUUCACACUGUGACGGUAUCUUACCAGAAAGGGACGGCUAACUACGUG
Molecule: ribosomal RNA, 495 nt
Filed under: uncultured bacterium
Lineage: Bacteria
Description: partial 16S ribosomal RNA
Rfam family: Bacterial small subunit ribosomal RNA
Source: RNAcentral